This 162-nucleotide ribosomal RNA is filed under the name uncultured bacterium. RNAcentral's name for it is "partial 16S ribosomal RNA". It matches the Rfam family "Bacterial small subunit ribosomal RNA", at positions 355 to 509 of the family's 1533-position model. The record is from RNAcentral.
UAGGGAAUUUUCGUCAAUGUGGGCAACCCUGAACGAGCAAUGCCGCGUGAGCGAAGAAGGUCUUCGGAUUGUAAAGCUCUGUUGCCGGGGAAAAAGGAAGGAAAGAGGAAAUGCUUUUCUUUGGAUGGUACCCGGCCAGAAAGUCACGGCUAACUACGUGCC